UACGUAGGUGGCAAGCGUUGUCCGGAUUUACUGGGCGUAAAGAGCGCGCAGGCGGUCGUUCAAGUCGCGUGUGAAAGCCCCCGGCUCAAUUGGGGAGGGUCACGCGAUACUGAUCGACUCGAAGGCAGGAGAGGGUAGUGGAAUUCCCGGUGUAGUGGUGAAAUGCGUAGAUAUCGGGAGGAACACCAGUGGCGAAGGCGACUACCUGGCCUGUUCUUGACGCUGAGGCGCGAAAGCUAGGGAGCAAACGGG
Molecule: ribosomal RNA, 252 nt
Filed under: uncultured bacterium
Lineage: Bacteria
Description: partial 16S ribosomal RNA
Rfam family: Bacterial small subunit ribosomal RNA
Source: RNAcentral